UCUAUCUACACUACUGUCAUAUUGUCAUAAUCAGCUAAUUAUAAGAUUAGCAACAGUGCUCCUACUAAGCCUGAGAUACUUAAGGCAAGUAAUGUUCAUUAUCUUAAAUAAUUUAAUAAGAUCGCAUAUGAGGAUAAAAAAAGUAACAGAUUUUGGUAUAAUCAAAAGACCAGAACUAUAGUUUUUUUUCAGUAAUGUGGUGUCUGAAUUACAUUCUCUAUCAUUUGUAAAUGAAGAUCAUUUUGGAAAUAACGGUAAUGAUUCACUUCCUAGUACUGUAUUUAAUACUGAGGUUUUUUAUGCUUUCUUAUGAAAACUUCAUGAAGUGCUUAAUACGAAAUGCAUAAUAAAAUCCAUCGCAAGCUUACAGAUACCGACGAAUGUUGUUACCCAAUACCCACGGCCACUUGGACAUUUCGAACUGCUUAUGUAGUCACGUGAGUGAGUUCCCUAUCGAACUGUUUGUCCCAGACUCCCAGUUUAUUAUCGGCAAGGAUGGCUAGAGUACUCGGAAUGUCUUUUGUUAUUGUCAUGUGGAAUUGUUGGUAAUUGAACGAUGCUGAAACCUGAUUGGUUCUUGCUUAAGAUUUCACGAAUUACGUAUUACCUUGGCAUCCAGGUGUUUGUGGUCAUGGUUCCCGUGGCGAAGACUUGUAACCUCUGCCCAGUCUCUUGGAAUUUUCAGUGGGGAAAAAGACAAGAGUGAAAUACCAGGAUGUACUCAAGAUCCUCAUGCCUACCUCUGCAAUUUCCGAUUCUGAGGAAGCGGCUUCGCUUUGCUGUCUACUGCUCCAGGGCACUCUUGACGGGUAUCCUAAUGCCCUUUUUAUUCGAUGGUGGAGCACCUGAGACCCAAAACGUUGGCAUCGCUCCUUUGCCCUGUGUAGAAGUAAAAGAGGAAUUAAACAUGGAAGCCUUUGACGGUUGUGGGACAUUAAGCCUGGCAACAUAAGGACUCCAUUUGAGUCUAAAGAUAAAAUUGGAAUAGAAAUCACAAUGACAGUACAACUCUGAUUCACUUAAUGUGUCAUAGUUCGUUCUGCUUCUGGACCAUACUACAAAGGAGAGCCUAUUCCUCCAGCAUAAGAAAAUGAUGUAAUGGAUGUAUCCUGGAAGGGAAGAUACCUCCUAUGAUAGGGUUCUGUGUGAAUAUUUGUGCUUUAGCAUUAUAUAUUGAAUGGUGUCAUCAUCUCUCCAUACUCCCAACAAGAUUACAUAAAAAUUAGGGAAGCUUUAAAUAAGCAAGAUAUCAGACUUUAUGCCAUUAUUCAAGUGUCUGACAUCAUGGAAUCUUUGCAUGCUGCAGGGACAUCUGGAUUUUCAUUUAAUGCAAGUGAGAACAUUGCAUACCCAUCAAAUAGUACUGUAGUAGCAAUUUCUGACAUUCCAGACCUGCCAGGUAGUGUUUGCUACAUCUAUACGUUCGAAGCUCAUCAGUGACAACAGCUGAUUAAAUAUAGCAAGCCUACCAAGGAGUGCUGCAAUUAGAAAUUUUAUUUUAUUGCUGUUUAAGUUGAAAUUAUUAUAGCCCAACUGCAACCUCUCUCAACAUUUACUUAUAAACAGAUGUCAGCAGUAUUUCAGACAAAGUAAGUAAUUUUGUAUUCAAUAGCCUGGAGUUAAAAGUUCCAGUAAUGGUGAGAGAAAGCAUCCAGCUUGCAAAAUUUAAAGGUAGUUGUUGCAUAACUGUCAUGUAUACAUAGGACAUUUCAAAAGAAUUCUUUAGCACUCGGCUGGCAAAACUUGAAGGCUUGUACUAUAUAAGUAUGUUUUACACACUGUUUUUGUGCCCUCUGACACUACUUUCCUUCCAAAUGUAGCAGCAUGUUUACUCCCAAUUUAUGUAGAUAAUUUUUCUAUGUUGAAUGUUUGUGUAGAUAAUUCUACUAUGUUGAAUGUACUAAUAUUUUGUCUUUUAUAAAGGUUGUAAAGGCUUUCCAUUUUAGGUGUGGGCCAAAGAACUUUGCUAAUUAACUUAUGGGUAUGAGAUAAUCUGGAAUUAUAUAAGGCAGCUUACUUUUGUUCCUUUUUUUGCAUUUUUCUAAAACAACUUCUGUGGUUGGAAGCUUUCUGAUGAGGCCCAUUUCUUCAUUUAUACUAUAGAAUUGCUGCUGAUCACUUUUAUGCAGUAUUGCACAACCAUUAAAAAUAGUUUUAAUUCCAUAUUAAAAACAGUAAGAGAUGAAGCAGAUUUGUUCACUAUUAACAAAGCUUGGGUAUUAAAUUUUGAUUGAAAAUAUGAUGGAUGCUACUCUGUGAAAUAAGUUAAUGUGUAUUUUUCAAUUGUUAUUCUUGUAGUUGCAGCUAGUGGUAAUAUAAGAACCACAAGGAAAUUUAUUUUCCUUUUUUUCAGUAUUGGUAUUUCUUACUUUGCCAAUAUACAUUUGAUUAGAAGAGUCAUAUACAAAUGUGAUUAUCUGCAAAUAUAUCCAUAUAUAUUAUUCUGACCGUAAACAUUUAGGAAUUGUAACCUUGGGCAGCAAGUCGAAUGCAGAGUAGAUCCUGAAGAGUUUCCAGUUUCCAUAGUCUGUAGAAGUUUCUAAGGGUUGUCAUCGAGUAGCAUUAGUUUUUCAUAAGGAGUUCCAAAGUCAUUAACAUUUCUACUUUCCUUAGUUUAGUUUAUUUUCUUUCCACAGCCCAUUGUCAGCCUCCAUGAGUUUCCAGAGCUUUGGUUUCUGUGAUUUCCUAAAUAGAGAGUGGUUCUCCUUGCAACAACCUCCAGAGCUACUAUUCCUGUCAUCAUCCAGAGCUACUAUUCCUGUGUCAUCAUCUCAACUGUCAUUGGCUCUCCCUGCACCAUGCAUUGUGCCGUCAACAUCAGUGUUGUUUCCAACAACUUCAACCAACAUACUACGUCUGCUCCCUUCGCCUUGCUCAUUCAAGCUCUCUGAGAGUCGUAGGUAUUUUUCUGAGUAAGUAUGGCUUUGAGUAAUGGAGAUAGCAAGCUUAUCUCUCUUCCCCAAGGACCUGCUUAACGUUGUAGUCGACAGACAUUGGGCACACAGCAAUGACUGUCUAGUGCAUCAAGCCCUCGCCUUUCACUUCUAAAAGACCUCAGAGGUUGUCAACCUAUGCCAUCAGGAAGAACUCCAUGCUUAUGAUACACCUGAAGGACGCAUUCUUCCAGACUCUAAUCCACCAAUCAUCCGGGAAGUUUCUUCCCUUCAAUCUGACAGAGUUUACCAGUUCAAGGUUUUGCUUUAGCCUUUCAACUGCCCCACAGGUGUUCGCAAGAGUAAUCUCAACCUGGUGUCAUCCUCACAGGAUAUACAUUCCGAGAUACUUUGACAACUAACUAGUCGUCAAAGGCUAAUGCAAGACAGCGACCUUUUAUUCCAAUGUUGUCACAUUGUAGGCAUGAUAAAUUUAGAGAAGUUAAUUCUAACGACCAAAAAAAGAAUUCUUUACCUGAUCAUGCUUAUAGACAACAGUGGUGAGGGUACUCCCAUCACACCAGCGUAUCAAAUUCAGGAAUGUUGUUCAGUCCUUCCUAUCCAGAAAGAAGCAACCAGGACGUCAAUGGUAGAUCAUUCUCAGUUACCAGUCCCCCAAGAGGAGCUGUUCCUCAGCAAUUUCUCCCCCUCGGUCUCUUCAAUGGAGAUGAAAGCAGCCCUCCUAGUACAUCAAGUUUCAAGAAAGGGUGACGGCACUCCGUGGCUCUCAUGUCCGACAAACUAUACAAAAGGUAGCUUAUGUCAACAAAAGUGGGGGCUAGUGUACUGUCAGUUUAUGAAGAUGACAGGCCACUAGCCCCCUUUUGUUGACAAAAGCUACCAAUGUAGUAUAGUGUUGUUGGACAUAAGAGAGCCACGGAGUGCUGUCACCCUUUCUUGAAAGUCCUGACGUGCUACGAGUUUCAAGAUUUCUGGGUUGUGGCAGAAGCAGGUAAUCAACAUAGUGAUGAUUUCUUAGAACUUCUGGAUGAACCUAGUGGCUCCCUUGUGGCCACAUGCAGAAUGGUAACCCCAUCACCAAGGGAGAUUCCCCACUGGCACAAUCUCCUUAUGGGUGGAGACUGUCCAGUUUCUCCUAGGAGCAACAGGCUUUUCUUGCAGAGCAGUUGUGCCUGCCUCCUCCACUCCCAUUGCCAACAAAAUCCUUAAGCUAUUUCACGCUAGAGGAAUUCCCAUACAUUAAGACCACAGGUUUCUUGGGUUAUGAAAAAUGACAAAUUUUUAACCAAUUUGUAUUUUUCAUAACUAACAAACCUGAGGUCUUAACAUUAGGAUAAUACUAGCGCAAAGCUGGAAACCGGUAGAAUUAAUAACAAACUUGUGAGAUCCAGGGACUACAGGCAUCUAUACCAGGUCACAGGGUAUGUAGUACCCAGAAUGCCCUUGGCGUCCCAUGACCCAUCAGUUACUCUUCCAAACCAGUUACAAAUUUAUUAAAAAUUUGUUCAUACGAGAGCUUGUACUCUCAACAUUAAUCUGAA
Long non-coding RNA from Macrobrachium nipponense, 4435 nucleotides. RefSeq lists it as uncharacterized. Lineage: Eukaryota; Metazoa; Arthropoda; Malacostraca; Decapoda; Palaemonidae. The record is from RefSeq and is a predicted model, not a curated record. The transcript is spliced from 5 exons.